This 301-nucleotide ribosomal RNA is filed under the name uncultured bacterium. RNAcentral describes it as "partial 16S ribosomal RNA". It matches the Rfam family "Bacterial small subunit ribosomal RNA", at positions 509 to 809 of the family's 1533-position model. The record is from RNAcentral.
AAGCCGCCGCGGGAAUACAGAGGGUGCAAGCGUUAAUCGGAAUUACUAAGCGUAAAGCGCGCGUAGGUGGUUUGUUAAGUUGGAUGUGAAAUCCCCGGGCUCAACCUGGGAACUGCAUCCAAAACUGGCAAGCUAGAGUAUGGUAGAGGGUGGUGGAAUUUCCUGUGUAGCGGUGAAAUGCGUAGAUAUAGGAAGGAACACCAGUGGCGAAGGCGACCACCUGGACUGAUACUGACACUGAGGUGCGAAAGCGUGGGGAGCAAACAGGAUUAGAUACCCCUGUAGUCCCUGUCUCUUAUAA